GAUGAACGCUGGCGGCGUGCCUAAUACAUGCAAGUCGAGCGAACAGACGAGGAGCUUGCUCCUUUGACGUUAGCGGCGGACGGGUGAGUAACACGUAGGUAACCUACCUAUAAGACUGGGAUAACUUCGGGAAACCGGAGCUAAUACCGGAUAAUAUUUCGAACCGCAUGGUUCGAUAGUGAAAGAUGGCUUUGCUAUCACUUAUAGAUGGACCUGCGCCGUAUUAGCUAGUUGGUAAGGUAACGGCUUACCAAGGCAACGAUACGUAGCCGACCUGAGAGGGGGAUCGGCCACACUGGAACUUAAGCAGCGACCAGACGCCUACGGGAGGGCGCAGUCGGGAACGUUACGCAAUGGGGGAAAGCCUUACGGAGCAACGGCGGGUGAGUGGAGAAGGUCUUCGGAUCGGAAAACCCUGUUAUUAGGGAAGAACAAACGUGUAAGUAACUGUGCACGUCUUGACGGUACCUAAUCAGAAAGCCACGGCUAACUACGUG
Molecule: ribosomal RNA, 497 nt
Filed under: uncultured bacterium
Lineage: Bacteria
Description: partial 16S ribosomal RNA
Rfam family: Bacterial small subunit ribosomal RNA
Source: RNAcentral